Molecule: ribosomal RNA, 465 nt
Filed under: uncultured bacterium
Lineage: Bacteria
Description: partial 16S ribosomal RNA
Rfam family: Bacterial small subunit ribosomal RNA
Source: RNAcentral
GCCAGACUCCUACGGGAGGCAGCAGUGAGGAAUAUUGGUCAAUGGGCGGGAGCCUGAACCAGCCAAGUCGCGUGAGGGAAGACGGUCCUAUGGAUUGUAAACCUCUUUAGGCGGGGAGCAAUGCCGGGCACGUGUGCCCGGAGGGAGAGUACCCGCAGAAUAAGCAUCGGCUAACUCCGUGCCAGCAGCCGCGGUAAUACGGAGGAUGCGAGCGUUAUCCGGAUUUAUUGGGUUUAAAGGGUGCGUAGGCGGGAUGCCAGGGCAGCGGUCAAAUGCGGGGGCUCAACCUGCGUCCGCCGUUGAAACUGGCGUUCUUGAGUGGGCGAGAAGUACGCGGAAUGCGUGGUGUAGCGGUGAAAUGCAUAGAUAUCACGCAGAACUCCGAUUGCGAAGGCAGCAUACCGGCGCCCGACUGACGCUGAGGCACGAAAGCGUGGGGAUCGAACAGGAUUAGAUACCCUUGUA